CGAUUUGGCGGACGGGUGAGUAACGCGUGGGCAACCUGCCUCAUCAAGGGGGAUAACAGUGGGAAAUUACUGCUAAUACAAGCAUGAAAUCAUAGGAGGACAUCAUUUAAUGAUCAAAGGAGCAAUCCGGUUUGAGAUGGGCCCGCGUCCAAUUAGUUAGUUGGUGGGGUAACGGCUCACCAAGGCGACGAUUGGUAGCCGCCAUGAGAGGUUGAUCGGCCACAUUGGGACUGAGACACGGCCCAGACUCUUACGGGAGGCAUCAGUGGGGAAUAUUGCGCAAUGGGGGAAACCCUGACGCAGCAACGCCGCGUGAAGGAUGAAGGUUUUCGGAUUGUAAACUUCUUUGAUGAGGGACGAACUCAACGACGGUACCUCAAAAACAAGCCACGGCUAAUUACGUGCCAGCAGCCGCGGUAAUAAU
Molecule: ribosomal RNA, 424 nt
Filed under: uncultured Oscillospiraceae bacterium
Lineage: Bacteria; Bacillati; Bacillota; Clostridia; Eubacteriales; Oscillospiraceae
Description: bacterial SSU rRNA
Rfam family: Bacterial small subunit ribosomal RNA
Source: RNAcentral